CCUACGGGAGGCAGCAGUGGGGAAUAUUGCACAAUGGGCGAAACCCUGAUGCAGCGACGCCGCGUGAGUGAAGAAGUCCUUCGUUAUGUAAAGCUCUAUCAGCCGGGAAGAAAAUGACGGUACCUGAGUACGAAGCAACGGCUAACUCCGUGCCAGCAGCCGCGGUAAUACGUAGGGGGCAAGCGUUAUCCGGAUUUACUGGGUGUAAAGGGAACGUAGACGGCAGUGCAAGUCUGGAGUGAAAUGCGGGGGCUUAACCCCCGGACUGCUCUGGAUACUGGACGGCUAGAGUGCAGGAGAGGUAAGUGGAAUUCCUAGUGUAGCGGUGAAAUGCGUAGAGAUGAGGAGGAACACCAGUGGCGAAGGCGGCUUACUGGACUAAAACUGACGUUGAGGCGCGAAAGCGUGGGGAGCAAACAGGAUUAGAUACCCGAGUAGUC
Molecule: ribosomal RNA, 440 nt
Filed under: uncultured bacterium
Lineage: Bacteria
Description: partial 16S ribosomal RNA
Rfam family: Bacterial small subunit ribosomal RNA
Source: RNAcentral